AACGAACGCUGGCGGCAGGCCUAACACAUGCCAGUCGAGCGAGGACUUCGGUUCUAGCGGCGGACGGGUGAGUAACGCGUGGGAAUGUGCCCUUCUCUACGGAAUAGCCCUGGGAAACUGGGAGUAAUACCGUAUACGCCCUAUUGGGGAAAGAUUUAUCGGAGAAGGAUCAGCCCGCGUUGGAUUAGGUAGUUGGUGGGGUAAUGGCCUACCAAGCCGACGAUCCAUAGCUGGUUUGAGAGGAUGAUCAGCCACACUGGGACUGAGACACGGCCCAGACUCCUACGGGAGGCAGCAGUGGGGAAUCUUAGACAAUGGGGGCAACCCUGAUCUAGCCAUGCCGCGUGAGUGAUGAAGGCCUUAGGGUUGUAAAGCUCUUUCAGCUGGGAAGAUAAUGACGGUACCAGCAGAAGAAGCCCCGGCUAACUACGUG
Molecule: ribosomal RNA, 433 nt
Filed under: uncultured bacterium
Lineage: Bacteria
Description: partial 16S ribosomal RNA
Rfam family: Bacterial small subunit ribosomal RNA
Source: RNAcentral